RNAcentral lists this long non-coding RNA (445 nucleotides) under Anser brachyrhynchus (Pink-footed goose). RNAcentral describes it as "lncRNA (ENSABRG00000008387.1)". Lineage: Eukaryota; Metazoa; Chordata; Aves; Anseriformes; Anatidae. The record is from RNAcentral.
AAGAUGUUUCUCCUCUCUUACAGCGCGAGCACAAACACAGCACAAGAAAUCCAGUGAAUGUGCCAGGGUUGGAUGCAGCCAGGGAAGGCCAGAUUAGUGCACAACUGACGAAGGGAAGCCAUGCAUUUUGACAAGAGACUGGGAAGUUGUUAGGAAUAACAAGGAAGAUGUGUGAAGGAAGCAAAGACCAUACUAGUUGUUGAUGUCUUCUGCAGAGCUGUCGCUCCUGGAACCAGUGUGUAGGUUGCUGUCCCAGACAUAGCCAAGCUUCGUCUUUUGUCUGUUUUUCUUCCAUUCUUUCGUCCCUUCCUCUUGCCCUCUCAGAAGCAUCCUGAAGUGAGAUCCAGUGGACACGGAUGUAGAACAGGGGAAGAAAGCUCGCAAUGGCAAGGUGUUGAAGCAAGUGCUGUGUAGGCAGCAGAAGUCCUGAAAUGAUCAAGUAACU